This 2988-nucleotide ribosomal RNA is filed under the name Salmonella enterica subsp. enterica serovar Typhimurium. RNAcentral's name for it is "23S ribosomal RNA". It matches the Rfam family "Bacterial large subunit ribosomal RNA". Lineage: Bacteria; Pseudomonadati; Pseudomonadota; Gammaproteobacteria; Enterobacterales; Enterobacteriaceae. The record is from RNAcentral.
GGUUAAGCGACUAAGCGUACACGGUGGAUGCCCCGGCAGUCAGAGGCGAUGAAGGGCGUGCUAAUCUGCGAUAAGCGCCGGUAAGGUGAUAUGAACCGUUAUAACCGGCGAUACCCGAAUGGGGAAACCCAGUGUGAUUCGUCACACUAUCAUUAACUGAAUCCAUAGGUUAAUGAGGCGAACCGGGGGAACUGAAACAUCUAAGUACCCCGAGGAAAAGAAAUCAACCGAGAUUCCCCCAGUAGCGGCGAGCGAACGGGGAGGAGCCCAGAGCCUGAAUCAGCAUGUGUGUUAGUGGAAGCGUCUGGAAAGGCGCGCGAUACAGGGUGACAGCCCCGUACACAAAAGCGCAUGUGCUGUGAGCUCGAUGAGUAGGGCGGGACACGUGGUAUCCUGUCUGAAUAUGGGGGACCAUCCUCCAAGGCUAAAUACUCCUGACUGACCGAUAGUGAACCAGUACCGUGAGGGAAAGGCGAAAAGAACCCCGGCGAGGGGAGUGAAAAAGAACCUGAAACCGUGUACGUACAAGCAGUGGGAGCACCCUUCGGGGUGUGACUGCGUACCUUUUGUAUAAUGGGUCAGCGACUUAUAUUCUGUAGCAAGGUUAACCGUAUAGGGGAGCCGGAGGGAAACCGAGUCUUAACCGGGCGUUAAGUUGCAGGGUAUAGACCCGAAACCCGGUGAUCUAGCCAUGGGCAGGUUGAAGGUUGGGUAACACUAACUGGAGGACCGAACCGACUAAUGUUGAAAAAUUAGCGGAUGACCUGUGGCUGGGGGUGAAAGGCCAAUCAAACCGGGAGAUAGCUGGUUCUCCCCGAAAGCUAUUUAGGUAGCGCCUCGUGAAUUCAUCUCCGGGGGUAGAGCACUGUUUCGGCUAGGGGGCCAUCCCGGCUUACCAACCCGAUGCAAACUGCGAAUACCGGAGAAUGUUAUCACGGGAGACACACGGCGGGUGCUAACGUCCGUCGUGAAGAGGGAAACAACCCAGACCGCCAGCUAAGGUCCCAAAGUCAUGGUUAAGUGGGAAACGAUGUGGGAAGGCCCAGACAGCCGGGAUGUUGGCUUAGAAGCAGCCAUCAUUUAAAGAAAGCGUAAUAGCUCACUGGUCGAGUCGGCCUGCGCGGAAGAUGUAACGGGGCUAAACCAUGCACCGAAGCUGCGGCAGCGAACGUAUCACCCAAGACAACUUUACGGAGUUGACGAUUGACGGAGCGAAGCGACGUCAAAGCGUUCAUUAAAGUCGAGUUGGCUUAGGGAUACGUUCGUUGGGUAGGGGAGCGUUCUGUAAGCCUGUGAAGGUGUGUCGUGAGGCAUGCUGGAGGUAUCAGAAGUGCGAAUGCUGACAUAAGUAACGAUAAAGCGGGUGAAAAGCCCGCUCGCCGGAAGACCAAGGGUUCCUGUCCAACGUUAAUCGGGGCAGGGUGAGUCGACCCCUAAGGCGAGGCCGAAAGGCGUAGUCGAUGGGAAACGGGUUAAUAUUCCCGUACUUGGUGUUACUGCGAAGGGGGGACGGAGAAGGCUAUGUUGGCCGGGCGACGGUUGUCCCGGUUUAAGCGUGUAGGUGUGUGUUCCGGUAAAUCCGGUUCACUUUAACACUGAGGCGUGACGACGAGGCACUACGGUGCUGAAGCAACAAAUGCCCUGCUUCCGGGAAAAGCCUCUAAGCAUCAGGUAACAUCAAAUCGUACCCCAAACCGACACAGGUGGUCAGGUAGAGAAUACCAAGGCGCUUGAGAGAACUCGGGUGAAGGAACUAGGCAAAAUGGUGCCGUAACUUCGGGAGAAGGCACGCUGACACGUAGGUGAAGUGAUUUACUCAUGGAGCUGAAGUCAGUCGAAGAUACCAGCUGGCUGCAACUGUUUAUUAAAAACACAGCACUGUGCAAACACGAAAGUGGACGUAUACGGUGUGACGCCUGCCCGGUGCCGGAAGGUUAAUUGAUGGGGUCAGCGCAAGCGAAGCUCCUGAUCGAAGCCCCGGUAAACGGCGGCCGUAACUAUAACGGUCCUAAGGUAGCGAAAUUCCUUGUCGGGUAAGUUCCGACCUGCACGAAUGGCGUAAUGAUGGCCGGGCUGUCUCCACCCGAGACUCAGUGAAAUUGAACUCGCUGUGAAGAUGCAGUGUACCCGCGGCAAGACGGAAAGACCCCGUGAACCUUUACUAUAGCUUGACACUGAACAUUGAGCCUUGAUGUGUAGGAUAGGUGGGAGGCUUUGAAGUGUGGACGCCAGUCUGCAUGGAGCCGACCUUGAAAUACCACCCUUUAAUGUUUGAUGUUCUAACGUGGACCCGUAAUCCGGGUUGCGGACAGUGUCUGGUGGGUAGUUUGACUGGGGCGGUCUCCUCCUAAAGAGUAACGGAGGAGCACGAAGGUUGGCUAAUCCUGGUCGGACAUCAGGAGGUUAGUGCAAUGGCAUAAGCCAGCUUGACUGCGAGCGUGACGGCGCGAGCAGGUGCGAAAGCAGGUCAUAGUGAUCCGGUGGUUCUGAAUGGAAGGGCCAUCGCUCAACGGAUAAAAGGUACUCCGGGGAUAACAGGCUGAUACCGCCCAAGAGUUCAUAUCGACGGCGGUGUUUGGCACCUCGAUGUCGGCUCAUCACAUCCUGGGGCUGAAGUAGGUCCCAAGGGUAUGGCUGUUCGCCAUUUAAAGUGGUACGCGAGCUGGGUUUAGAACGUCGUGAGACAGUUCGGUCCCUAUCUGCCGUGGGCGCUGGAGAACUGAGGGGGGCUGCUCCUAGUACGAGAGGACCGGAGUGGACGCAUCACUGGUGUUCGGGUUGUCAUGCCAAUGGCACUGCCCGGUAGCUAAAUGCGGAAGAGAUAAGUGCUGAAAGCAUCUAAGCACGAAACUUGCCCCGAGAUGAGUUCUCCCUGAGACUUAGAGUCUCCUGAAGGAACGUUGAAGACGACGACGUUGAUAGGCCGGGUGUGUAAGCGCAGCGAUGCGUUGAGCUAACCGGUACUAAUGAACCGUGAGGCUUAACCUU